Molecule: ribosomal RNA, 468 nt
Filed under: uncultured bacterium
Lineage: Bacteria
Description: partial 16S ribosomal RNA
Rfam family: Bacterial small subunit ribosomal RNA
Source: RNAcentral
GACGAACGCUGGCGGCGUGCUUAACACAUGCAAGUCGAACGGAAAGGCCCUGCUUUUGUGGGGUGCUCGAGUGGCGAACGGGUGAGUAACACGUGAGUAACCUGCCCUUGACUUUGGUAUAACUUCAGGAAACUGGGGCUAAUACCGGAUAGGAGCUCCUGCUCCAUGGUGUUGGUUGGAAAUUUUCGGCGGUUGGGGAUGGACUCGCGGCUUAUCAGCUUGUUGGUGGGGUAGUGGCUUACCAAGGCUUUGACGGGUAUCCGGCCUGAGAGGGUGACCGGCCACAUUGGGACUGAGAUACGGCCCAGACUCCUACGGGAGGCAGCAGUGGGGAAUAUUGCACAAUGGGCGGAAGCCUGAUGAAGCAACGCCGCGUGCGGGAUGACGGCCUUCGGGUUGUAAACCGCUUUCGCCUGUGACGAAGCGUGAGUGACGGUAAUGGGUAAAGAAGCACCGGCUAACUACGUG